GGACCCGCACAAGCGGUGGAGUAUGUGGCUUAAUUCGAUGCAACGCGAAGAACCUUACCUAGGCUUGACAUGCUUGUCGUACUCUCCCGAAAAGGAGAGGUCACUUCGGGUGGACAAUGCACAGGUGCUGCAUGGCCGUCGUCAGCUCGUGUCGUGAGAUGUUUGGUUAAGUCCAGCAACGAGCGCAACCCCUGUGAACUGUUGCCAGCGCGUAAAGGCGGGACUCUGUUCAGACUGCCCAGAUCAACUGGGAGGAAGGUGGGGACGACGUCAGGUCAGUAUGGCCCUUACGCCUAGGGCUGCACACGUACUACAAUGCCCAGCACAAUGAGAACCGAGACCGCAAGGUGGAG
Molecule: ribosomal RNA, 353 nt
Filed under: uncultured bacterium
Lineage: Bacteria
Description: bacterial SSU rRNA
Rfam family: Bacterial small subunit ribosomal RNA
Source: RNAcentral